UUGUGACAGGGAAGGUAGUGACACGGACUGCCUCAGGUGAAUUCUCCAUAGUGACACAUCGGGAGGUGUUGACCCGGCCUCUCCCAGGGGUAUUAGCGUAUAUUCAACUUGUUGCAAUUACAAAGCUCGUAGUUGAAUUUCUGCUGUAUUGCAUUUUCUCUUUUUAUAUGAGUUUUUGCAUUAUGCCUUAUUUCAGUAUUAAAUUUUUAUUAUUACUGAAUGUUUUCUUUGAGAAACCUCUAGUGCUCAAAGCAGGCUUUUGCCUUGAAUAGUUUAGCUUGCAACAAUAAAGUACGACUAUGGUUCUAUUUCGUUGGUUUUAGGUACCCAACCACUGGCUAAUAGAACCAGAUGGCGGUCUCCUUAUUUAACUGUCAGAAGGUGAAAUUCUUAGAC
This 396-nucleotide ribosomal RNA is filed under the name Theileria sp. OT3. Its description in RNAcentral is "bacterial SSU rRNA". It matches the Rfam family "Eukaryotic small subunit ribosomal RNA", at positions 451 to 925 of the family's 1831-position model. Lineage: Eukaryota; Apicomplexa; Aconoidasida; Piroplasmida; Theileriidae. The record is from RNAcentral.